GAAAUGCGAUAAGUAAUGUGAAUUGCAGAGUCUAGUGAAUCAUCGAAUCUUUGAACGCACAUUGCGCCCCUCGGUAUUCCGACGGGCAUGCCUGUCCGAGCGUCGUUUGCACACCCUCGAACCUCACAGUUCGGUCUUGGGCCUUCGUCCCUCUCGUGGGACGGGCCCCGAAGCCAGCGGCGGCCUCGAGCGUCCCGCCGGAGCGUCCUCGACGAAGAACCGCUCCGGCAGGCGCCCGCGGGCCCGCCUACAACACAAACACAAGGCUCGACCUCGGAUCAGGUAGGGAUACCCGCUGAACUUAAGC
This 307-nucleotide unclassified non-coding RNA is filed under the name plant metagenome. RNAcentral describes it as "partial contains 5.8S ribosomal RNA, internal transcribed spacer 2, and large subunit ribosomal RNA". The stretch from base 1 to 105 matches the Rfam family "5.8S ribosomal RNA", at positions 50 to 154 of the family's 154-position model. The record is from RNAcentral.